CCUACGGGAGGCAGCAGUAGGGAAUAUUGCUCAAUGGGGGAAACCCUGAAGCAGCAACGCCGCGUGGAGGAUGAAGGUUUUCGGAUUGUAAACUCCUUUUGUUAGAGAAGAUAAUGACGGUAUCUAACGAAUAAGCACCGGCUAACUCCGUGCCAGCAGCCGCGGUAAUACGGAGGGUGCAAGCGUUACUCGGAAUCACUGGGCGUAAAGAGCGCGUAGGCGGGAUAGCAAAUCAGAUGUGAAAUCCUAGGGCUUAACCAUAGAACUGCAUUUGAGACUGUUAUUCUAGAGUAUGGGAGAGGUAGGUGGAAUUCUUGGUGUAGGGGUAAAAUCCGUAGAGAUCAAGAGGAAUACUCAUUGCGAAGGCGACCUGCUAGAACAUAACUGACGCUGAUGCGCGAAAGCGUGGGGAGCAAACAGGAUUAGAUACCCCUGUAGUC
RNAcentral lists this ribosomal RNA (440 nucleotides) under uncultured bacterium. Its description in RNAcentral is "partial 16S ribosomal RNA". It matches the Rfam family "Bacterial small subunit ribosomal RNA", at positions 338 to 795 of the family's 1533-position model. The record is from RNAcentral.